Molecule: transfer RNA, 64 nt
Filed under: Rutilia goerlingiana
Lineage: Eukaryota; Metazoa; Arthropoda; Insecta; Diptera; Tachinidae
Description: tRNA-Gly
Source: RNAcentral
AUCUAUAUAAUAUAAAUAGUAUAUUUGACUUCCAAUCAUAAAGUCUAUUCAUAUAUUAUAGAUA